GUGCGAUAACUAGUGUGAAUUGCAUAUUCAGUGAAUCAUCGAGUCUUUGAACGCAACUUGCGCUCAUUGGUAUUCCAAUGAGCACGCCUGUUUCAGUAUCAAAACAAACCCUCUAUCCAACAUUUUUGUUGAAUAGGAAUACUGAGAGUCUCUUGAUCUUUUCUGAUCUCGAACCUCUUGAAAUGUACAAAGGCCUGAUCUUGUUUGAAUGCCUGAACUUUUUUUUAAUAUAAAGAGAAGCUCUUGCGGUAAACUGUGCUGGGGCCUCCCAAAUAAUACUCUUUUUAAAUUUGAUCUGAAAUCAGGCGGGAUUACCCGCUGAACUUAA
This 328-nucleotide unclassified non-coding RNA is filed under the name uncultured Mucor. Its description in RNAcentral is "partial contains 5.8S ribosomal RNA, internal transcribed spacer 2, and large subunit ribosomal RNA". The stretch from base 1 to 101 matches the Rfam family "5.8S ribosomal RNA", at positions 53 to 154 of the family's 154-position model. Lineage: Eukaryota; Fungi; Mucoromycota; Mucoromycetes; Mucorales; Mucoraceae. The record is from RNAcentral.